AUUCUCAUUCUCCUACUCUUUUUUUGGUAGUGGGGCCCGAGUGAAUGAAUUUGAUGGAAAUUUUUCUGUGCUGAUUGAAGGAUUUUUUCCUUUUCUGGUUUGCCUAUGCCUAUUUGGUAUUAUCAUAGAUAUCUGCUGAUGUGUUAAUGAUGAAUAUAUGCUUUGUUCGUAUGAUUGAUUAUAAUUUUCUUGGAAAUAUGCUUUAAGAGAUGUUGAAGUGAUUUAUUUCCUUGUUUGGACCUAAUCCACGGAAUAGAAGUGUGAGAGGAGGGAUUAUAGGUAAUUAAUUAGUAAGAUAGUGGAUGAAACAAAAUUUUUCCUAAAUCUGCCCCUACAUUACAUAUAUAUGAUAUAUCAAGCUUUUAAUGGAUUUGGAAUGUUUUUUAAAUGUUCAAUAAGUUGUUACACCCCAGGAAUAUUAGUUGUUUCUUUUAGUUAUAGGUGGUUUUUGGUUGGUUUGAUUUAUCACAUCCAAUGAACUGUAGUUGUUUCUUUUACUUUAUUUAGGUUCAACUUACUUGGGGGUGACCCUGCAGCAUAAUUGCAGAAACCCACAGGAUUAUUUAAAUUUUAGGGCAUCAAGUAUAAAGUUAUUGCGUUGAGGCAACAAGGAUAAUAGUGUCGUUAAUGAGUUUUGUGUCAUAUGGGGAACAUUGAAGAUUAUACCUCUAAUAUAGGAAUUAGGAAUAUAAAUUAGCUUGAUCAAUUAUGUGUCUGUUAGCUGAUUUAUGAAAGUGGUUGUUGUUUUGGCCAACAACAUGCCUUUCUUGUUUUCAUCGUCUAUGUGGUUUUGCUAAUAUCAGGCAGAGUUGCUGAAUCUUGAGGUAAUGAUUUAUGGCUAAUACCAAUUUAGGGCCCUGUCCAUUACAGAAAUUUUACAAAUCAAGAUUUUGAAGAACUGUGCUAAGGCAUUGGUUUAAGGAACUUUCAAUUCUUUGUUUAGCUGUAGGAUAGGGCCUUCUUUCCCAUAUUGCUUAUCAGUCCUUUGAACUUUGGAGUCUUUUUUAUUCUGCAUAUUUCAAAAGAUUAGAAAGAAGUUGCCAGCUUAAGAUAGGGGUAGAAUGAGUAUAAGAUUGUAUAUAGUUGAGAUGGCAAUAUAAUGAGUUUCUAGUUUAUGUGUUUUAUGGAAUUAAAAGUUGUAUUUAUUUCCUAAACUGAAUAGGACCUCUCUGUGCCAAAUAUCCUGCCAGCUUUUAUAGACAUUUUUUAAUUAAUAACCAAUAACUUAAUCUUUCUUUAUUAGAACAUAAAAUGAAUGGGAUAAGCAUUAUAAAAAUGUGGCUUUAGAUAGACCUGCAUUUCAAAAUAUUGGCUUUCUGAAAGACGAAGCUGCAUUAACAAAAAGCAUCUUUCCAACCUGUUCUUGUCUAAACAGAAUACUUUACAAGCACUAGACCCAGGACUUCCUUCAUCUGCAACAGUUAUUGCCUGAAACUUACAGUGUUUACUGGUCCACUCACCAACAACCAGCUUGCCCAAAUCACAUAAACAGGUGGUAGUGUUCUAGAGUUAGUCUUCAAAGCUAAAAAGAAAGUCAUACAAGUCAAAAACUUGUUUCUGUGAGAAGAGAGUUUUAGAGGGGAGAUUAAAGAGAGAGAGAGAGAGGACUUUAUUUUUGGGAACUAUGGAGUUAGAAAAGAAAAGAAAGCUAAAGGAGAAUUUGAGAUUAAUGAAAUAUGAGUGGCAUUCAUAAGACACAUUUAAGGAAUAAAACUUGCUAAACCACAUUUACAAAGUACACUUUUGCUGAAUAUCUAUUAUUGAAAAUGUGAUCUUAGAGUAAGGAAAUAUGAGUAGAUUCAGAAGAUGCAUUUAAGGAAUGAAGCUUGCUAAACUGCAUUUACAAAGUGCACUUUUGCAAAAUAUCUACUAUUGAAAUGUGAAAGCCACAUAUUUGAAAAGUCACUUAUAUAAAAAAGUUGCAUAUUGUAUUAGCUUUUGGUAAAACACUUCCAAAUCAUUAUAUUUCAGUAAAAGUUCUCUCACCACAAGAUUCUUAAAUCAUCAUUGCACAUCUAUUUUUUUGUGGUGUAGAUGUGUAAUCAAGAAUUCCUAACUAUUUGCUGCUGGCUUCUAAAAUAGGAUGAAACAUAUAUUGCUCCCUGGUGGUCCUUUUUUUGUAGUGUAGUGAAGGAUUGUCACCCCUUGGUGCCUUAUAAUAAAGUUAUACACUCACCUAUCAAAGAGAAUGAUCUAACGAGUGAAAAGUCAAUACUUGAGCGAUUUAACUGCAUUAUGCCACAGUUAGAAGCUUCUAAGGCUGUAUGCAAUUCGAUCACAUAUUAUAAUUUAGUCAUUGCUUAUGAUGAGUACUUUAAUUUGUGUGAAAGUUUUACUUAAUGGUUGUUUCAUCUGUUUUGACAUUUCAUUCAAUGUACGUUUUGGUUUUAACUUUUAACAUAAGUGAGGUAAUGUUCCUAAUUCCAUAGUCUUAUUGGCCAUAGUGAAACUUCUUGUUCUGGCUCUUGUAUCAGUUUUGACAUUUAAUAUCAGGUGUGGGAACUGGGAACAUAAUACAACUGAAUAAUGAGGAGUUAAUUUGCUCCUUUUCUAAGCUACCCAUGUGAUUAUGCCGAGUCUAUUUGGAUGGUCCAAGAAAUUGAUUAUGCCGAGUCUAUUUGGAUGGUCCAAGAAAUUGAUUUUAUUCCCUUUUUGUUGCACUACGUUGAUGCAAUUAA
Long non-coding RNA from Ipomoea nil (Japanese morning glory), 2678 nucleotides. RefSeq lists it as uncharacterized. The record is from RefSeq and is a predicted model, not a curated record. The transcript has 2 exons. Lineage: Eukaryota; Viridiplantae; Streptophyta; Magnoliopsida; Solanales; Convolvulaceae.